This 613-nucleotide long non-coding RNA is filed under the name Dermacentor andersoni. Its description in RNAcentral is "uncharacterized LOC126535840". The record is from RNAcentral. Lineage: Eukaryota; Metazoa; Arthropoda; Arachnida; Ixodida; Ixodidae.
CUCUGAAGUCAGCAGCUGGCAAACCUUUGUUUCAGUCAUGUUUUCAGCGGCUAAGCGCCUGGUAAAGCCCAGGCUGAUAAUUCUUGCAUUUUUCCUUGCCGCGAUGCCACGCCCAUGCCGGUCCUCCUGUUUUGAUAUUCAUCGCUCAAGGGCCACCACUACCGUUCUUUUGCUUGUCAGAUAGACUCCGGUGUCGAGCGUACUGCCUCGACCUUGUCAAGAGUGACAGCUCGUGGAAGCCUCUGCAUCUAGACGGGGGAGCUCAUGCAUGCCGAGACACCAGGGUGCGAUGCCAGCUCGACGCUCCAUUUGUAUUCAAGUCUGGGCUGUCAUGUUUCCAGUGCUUUCCUCGAGCUUCAGAUGAUCGAGGGCUUGAAAACCGACGCGACUUGCUCAACCCCGUGGCUUUGGCUGAAGUUUUGGCUUCUUCUGCCACUUUUUUUCCCCAUAUCCUCUUUGCAGUCUAUAUGCUGUAUUUGUCGGUUUACGCUGAACUGGCGCGACGCGACGAAGCGUUUGGUUUCGGGUCUAUGAAGCGAAAUUUUCCCGCUUUUCUUCGGCCGUCAUAAUGCAUAAUUAUUAAACAAUGAUUAGUAAACCACUCUUCUUACAA